Molecule: long non-coding RNA, 1191 nt
Filed under: Piliocolobus tephrosceles (Ugandan red Colobus)
Lineage: Eukaryota; Metazoa; Chordata; Mammalia; Primates; Cercopithecidae
Description: lncRNA (ENSPTEG00000003113.1)
Source: RNAcentral
AUGGCUCCUAUACUAAUUGCAUAUAUAUGUACAUAUAAAUACAUGGAUAUAUACAUGCAAGUACACAAACACAUGCGCAUGUUUCUAAUUCGAACUACACAGAAAGCCAACAAGAACAACCUUCACAUGUUUGAAAAAAGGUAUGGCUACAAUUUAAGCGACUUACAUAGCUACAUAUACACAAUAAACCUUCCUUUAAAACCUCAAUAUAUCAAUUAUGUUUUAGAGGAUAAAAGAAAAGAGCAAAAAGAGGAAGAACAAGCAAAAACAAACACAUCUGAUAAUAAUUAUGUAAAAGAAAAACAAACGAACGACAUAAAGGAAGAACAUCCAAAUAUUACAACUGUUGAUAUUUAUAAUCAAUAUGAGAAAGAAAAUAUAAAUAAUGCAAAUAAUAUUUAUAAAAAUGAAUUAAUCAUACAUAAUAAAAAUAAUAAUAAUAAAAUUCAAAAAUAUGAAGAUAUGUAUGUCCAUAUGUUUUAUAAUGAUAAUUACUCAUAUGAAAAAAAUAAAAACAACAUAUAUACAGAUGACGACCUUAUGAAACAUAUUACUAUGAAAAAUAAUAAUUUAAAUGAUAAUGAAAAAAAAAUUGCCAAAGAAAAAAAGAAAAAAAAAACAUAUAUUAAUUUAUGUUUAAAUUAUUAUAACAAUUUAGAUACAUGUGUAAUUAAAAAAUACCAAAAAAAUGUAGAAAACAAAAAGUACAAAUUUACUCGUCUACACACUUGUAAACCUCAUUAUAUAUUGUUUUCUCGGUGUAUUAAAUAUAGAGAUAAGAAACUAAUGAAUGAAAUAAAAAAAAAAGAAAUAAAUUAUUACAACUCUCUUGACAAAGCCAACAAAACUCUUUACUUAAAUGAAUUUGAAACAAACCUGAGCUAUCACGAGUACCGCAUAAGUAAACUAUUCGAAGGUGUUGAAAAAAUAAAGUAAGAGACACAAUUAAAUUUAAAACACUAAAAAUACAUAAACUGUGACUACAUUGCCACAUGGGUGUGUUGUAUAUAUAUAUAUAUAUAUAUAUAUAUUUUUUUUUAUGGUAGACUGAACAAAGAAUUAAACGAACUAAGGGAAAGGUAUAAUAACAUUGUAAAGAAUGCAGGCACAGUUGACGAAAAACAUACAUGUAUUAGUAAUAUUGAAACAUAUUCCAAUAAAAAAGGAUAUAUAUUAUUAAAUAUUUGAAAU